AGGCAGCAGUAGGGAAUCUUCCGCAAUGGACGAAAGUCUGACGGAGCAACGCCGCGUGUAUGAAGAAGGCCUUCGGGUUGUAAAGUACUGUUGUCAGGGAAGAAACGGGUAUAUGUGAAUAAUGUAUAUCCUUGACGGUACCUGACGAGGAAGCCCCGGCUAACUACGUGCCAGCAGCCGCGGUAAUACGUAGGGGGCAAGCGUUGUCCGGAAUCAUUGGGCGUAAAGGGCGCGUAGGCGGGCUUGUAAGUCUGAUGUGAAAGUGCGGAGCUUAACUCCGUAAAGCAUUGGAAACUGUGAGUCUUGAGGACAGGAGAGGAAAGUGGAAUUCCUAGUGUAGCGGUGAAAUGCGUAGAUAUUAGGAGGAACACCAGUGGCGAAGGCGACUUUCUGGACUGUAACUGACGCUGAGGCGCGAAAGCGUGGGGAGCAAACAGGAUUAGAUACCCCGGUAG
RNAcentral lists this ribosomal RNA (455 nucleotides) under uncultured bacterium. RNAcentral describes it as "bacterial SSU rRNA". It matches the Rfam family "Bacterial small subunit ribosomal RNA", at positions 346 to 793 of the family's 1533-position model. The record is from RNAcentral.